GUCCCUGUAGUUCAAUGGAUAGAAUAACUCCGUCCUAAGGAGCAGAUAGAGGUUCGACUCCUCUCGGGGAUACCA
RNAcentral lists this transfer RNA (75 nucleotides) under Candidatus Saccharibacteria bacterium CG_4_10_14_0_2_um_filter_52_9. RNAcentral describes it as "tRNA-Arg". It matches the Rfam family "tRNA". From Rfam's summary of the family: Transfer RNA (tRNA) molecules are approximately 80 nucleotides in length. Their secondary structure includes four short double-helical elements and three loops (D, anti-codon, and T loops). Further hydrogen bonds mediate the characteristic L-shaped molecular structure. tRNAs have two regions of fundamental functional importance: the anti-codon, which is responsible for specific mRNA codon recognition, and the 3' end, to which the tRNAs corresponding amino acid is attached (by aminoacyl-tRNA synthetases). tRNAs cope with the degeneracy of the genetic code in two manners: having more than one tRNA (with a specific anti-codon) for a particular amino acid; and 'wobble' base-pairing, i.e. permitting non-standard base-pairing at the 3rd anti-codon position. The record is from RNAcentral. Lineage: Bacteria; Candidatus Saccharimonadota.